Molecule: long non-coding RNA, 981 nt
Filed under: Jatropha curcas
Lineage: Eukaryota; Viridiplantae; Streptophyta; Magnoliopsida; Malpighiales; Euphorbiaceae
Description: long non-coding RNA (JCUR_LNC003269)
Source: RNAcentral
GUGGGUUGAAAAGCCUGCCUGAAAACAAAACCGUGCGGGUCUGCGUGGCCCAAAGCGGACAAUAUAUACCAUGGGCUGGGCCGUUACAUUUGGUAUCAGAGCCGAAGCCUCGUCCCUCUGGUCCGGUGGUGGGGCAAACCUCAACGUGGGCGUUGAGUCCCUUAGGGGGGGGUGAGCGGUGGCUGGUCACUCUGGGGAUACCAGUGCACUCACCUUAGGCAAAUCCCACAUCGGCUAAGCACGAGGAGGAAGUGAUGUACAUAGGUGCUAACAGUCUAGAACAUGGUAUACGCGUUUUGGGUGGGUUGAAAAGCCUGCCUGAAAACAAAACCGUGCGGGUCUGCGUGGCCCAAAGCGGACAAUAUAUACCAUGGGCUGGGCCGUUACAUUUGGUAUCAGAGCCGAAGCCUCGUCCCUCUGGUCCGGUGGUGGGGCAAACCUCAACGUGGGCGUUGAGUCCCUUAGGGGGGGGUGAGCGGUGGCUGGUCACUCUGGGGAUACCAGUGCACUCACCUUAGGCAAAUCCCACAUCGGCUAAGCACGAGGAGGAAGUGAUGUACAUAGGUGCUAACAGUCUAGAACAUGGUAUACGCGUUUUGGGUGGGUUGAAAAGCCUGCCUGAAAACAAAACCGUGCGGGUCUGCGUGGCCCAAAGCGGACAAUAUAUACCAUGGGCUGGGCCGUUACAUUUGGUAUCAGAGCCGAAGCCUCGUCCCUCUGGUCCGGUGGUGGGGCAAACCUCAACGUGGGCGUUGAGUCCCUUAGGGGGGGGUGAGCGGUGGCUGGUCACUCUGGGGAUACCAGUGCACUCACCUUAGGCAAAUCCCACAUCGGCUAAGCACGAGGAGGAAGUGAUGUACAUAGGUGCUAACAGUCUAGAACAUGGUAUACGCGUUUUGGGUGGGUUGAAAAGCCUGCCUGAAAACAAAACCGUGCGGGUCUGCGUGGCCCAAAGCGGACAAUAUAUACCAUGGGCUGGGC